Molecule: small RNA, 84 nt
Filed under: Marmota monax (woodchuck)
Lineage: Eukaryota; Metazoa; Chordata; Mammalia; Rodentia; Sciuridae
Source: RNAcentral
GCUGGGUGCAGUGGUGCAUGCCUGUAAUCCCAGUGACUUGGGAGGCUGAGGCAGGGGGAACUGCAAGUUCAAAACCAGCCUCAG